GCCACAGCUCGCAUUGAUGUGCCAUCCUGGAUGAGCUGCACUACCUGAGUCACUUGUGUGGGUUGUAGACUCCAUCUCAUGCUACCACUAGAGUGAAAGCACCGCCAGCAUUCAAAAGUGACCAAAACAUCAGCCAGGAAGCAUAGGAACUGAGAAGUGGUCUGUGGUCACCACCUGCAGAACCACUCCUUUAUUGGGGUGUCUUGCUAAUUGCCUAUAAUUUCCACCUGUUGUCUAU
RNAcentral lists this long non-coding RNA (238 nucleotides) under Pelobates cultripes (western spadefoot toad). The record is from RNAcentral. Lineage: Eukaryota; Metazoa; Chordata; Amphibia; Anura; Pelobatidae.